AUCUAUGGCCUUGCCAUCCUAAACAAACCUGAUCCCAUCUGAUCUCAGAAGCCAAGCUGGGUCGGGCCUGGUUAGUAUUUGGAUGGGAUACCACCUAGGAAGACCAGGUGCUGUAGGCG
RNAcentral lists this ribosomal RNA (119 nucleotides) under Pteropus alecto (black flying fox). The record is from RNAcentral. Lineage: Eukaryota; Metazoa; Chordata; Mammalia; Chiroptera; Pteropodidae.